Molecule: ribosomal RNA, 325 nt
Filed under: Staphylococcus haemolyticus
Lineage: Bacteria; Bacillati; Bacillota; Bacilli; Caryophanales; Staphylococcaceae
Description: bacterial SSU rRNA
Rfam family: Bacterial small subunit ribosomal RNA
Source: RNAcentral
AUGCACGUCUUGACGGUACCUAAUCAGAAAGCCACGGCUAACUACGUGCCAGCAGCCGCGGUAAUACGUAGGUGGCAAGCGUUAUCCGGAAUUAUUGGGCGUAAAGCGCGCGUAGGCGGUUUUUUAAGUCUGAUGUGAAAGCCCACGGCUCAACCGUGGAGGAUCAUUGGAAACUGGAAAACUUGAGUGCAGAAGAGGAAAGUGGAAUUCCAUGUGUAGCGGUGAAAUGCGCAGAGAUAUGGAGGAACACCAGUGGCGAAGGCGACUUUCUGGUCUGUAACUGACGCUGAUGUGCGAAAGCGUGGGGAUCAAACAGGAUUAGAUA